GCUGUUGUAAACCGAGUAGAGAAAUCACAGCGACUAGGGGCCUCAUUUAUGAAACCUGUUGCACAAGAAAAGGUUGUGUUGUGUUGCAAUUUGCAGUUGCAACAACCGCGGAAAAGUCAGGACUCCAUGUGUAAAACUUCCAUGCGUAAAAAUGUGCCGUUUUGUGCAACUUUUUGACCGUGUGUGUGAUGGUGCGCUACGCUCCCAAAGGCUUUGUAGACCGCGUUUUAAGGACCUCCGAUGAUAACACCGAAUAUCACAUGGAUAAAGUAGUCUGGAUGCAGAGCGCACAGCCUGCAACCAAAACACCUGCGCCACUUAAUCACCCUGAGGAAGCCAACAUGACUCCAAUCCACUACGGGUUUUUUUUAGACUUGAUUAACCUAUCGGGACUAUAAAUAAAUAGCCCCGCAGUUCCCAAUGGCCAACCAAUCAACAGCAUGGCAGAUUAGGCAUUGCUCAAAGAUUAAGUAAGAGCACCUUGAUCUCACUAUCACUACAUCGUGUUUUUUCCACUAUUUUUCCGUUUCAUAAUUGGUCAUCAAGGGCUCCUUUACAAGGCUGGAAUAUUCAUUGGUUGAUUGAUAUGGACCUUAUAAGGACAAAUACGGGACAGCCUUGGGGGGAGCUUGAGGCGCAUAAGAUAACGCAUGUCUGAAUUUAUAACGAGAGUCUGUACAGGUGUUAUGAAGUCAAAUGUUUUUGACUUUUUAGCGCACAAAAUCUUUCAGUUUAAUAAGUGAGGUCCUUCAAGGGAUUGCGUUCUAAAUUGUAUCCAAGGUAAUCUUAUACAGCAGAGUUUGUAGCUUUGGAUGUAUCCUUGGAACUCAGACUCUUUGCAUUGCUGCUACAUAUGCAAACAAGUGACAAAGCAUUACCCACUAAGAUGCUCUCAUUUGCAUUCUUCCGGUCUGGCAGCCUGUAGGCCUCAGAGUACCACCAGAAGUUCUUCUUAACAGGUUUUUUGUUUUUAUUGGUUGGAUGACGAAAAGAGACACUUAAAGACGAGGCCCCUGCAUCAGGGAGAAACAGAUUUGGGCCGUGAUGUGCAGCGACCCUGCUGGCUGUGAUUCACUGCCUGCCCCCAUAUGCUACGACUCUUCUUGUUGUGUCCACGGGGGGACAUGACAGCUGCUGAUGUACAGCUUAAGCAUGAGUGGUCACAUCUCCACUGCUUGGCUGCCUCUCCACAAACUCUCCACACAUCUCUUAUUUACUGUCUCGCCCCGAGUCUGCAGACACCCGGCGCUACAUCUACAGUAGCUGGCAGCACUGACACUGUGGAAAUACAGCUGUGGUCUUUAGACGCCUGGAAGCAGCUGUGAGGUAUAUCCUGCACCCGGGAGGGGUUAUAGGAGAAAUAGCUGUAUCUAGUACAGUAUGUAAAUCAGACUGCAUUGUAACCCUCACUGCAGGCAAGAGAAGUAAAUAUCACGUUGUGGUGCUUUGAGUUUAAAUGCAGGUGUCACAAAAAAUGUGAGACUGGAAAAUAGUGGAAAUAAAACGAAUCCAGCGUCUGUCUCCAAAUCUAACGUCAAACUUCAUAGAGCCUCUUUGCCCCCGACUGAUCUGACUGUGCUGACAUUGUGACAUUUUCCCCUCCGUGUGAACUCCCUUCCAACUCUGCCACUGUCACCUCGAUUUCACGGUUUUGUCGGAGAAAAUGUUUCUUUCGUGUUUUUAGAAAGCAGGGAUGAAAGCCCUUUUAACGAAACCCGUUUAAUGUUAUUUUUGUACAAUGGUUGUCGCUGUUUUAAUGUGUUUUUUUAUACGAUAUACUGUCUUUCUUGUUGUAGGCCAUUUUUAAAGUCUUUUCUUUCUUUUUUGCUUUCGGGACAGGGGCUCACAUUGUCGCUCAUUGUGAGAACAUGACACAGAUUGACACGGAGCAUUUGUUUCAUAGAGGAUUAGUCUUUGCGAUGUUCAAAAACGCCUUUCUGUCUUAACAUCGCUACAAGCAGUUAAAGCAAUUAAGUCAGAAUUAAAAGAGAGGGAAAAUUCGGCAUAUAGCAUCAGGUGAAGCCCACAAAAGACGUACUACACGGUUGUCGCCGUGCUUCUCUGUACUAAAGACAUAGUUUAAUUAAAUUACUGGUAUAAUGUGCAGAAUGUCUUUUAAAACUGCCAGUGUAAGAACCAUUAUGUAUUUCUAGAGCAUGAUCUAUUAGAUGAAACCGUACAACACCGAGCUCAUGUCACUGCAGUAUAUCAGCCCUGUACGUUAGCCCCCCCCCCGAUGUAAAUAUGCCCAUUUUACAACUGAUGUAACUUCCUGUUAUACUUUACCUCUUCCUCUUCCCCACAUUUACACUGACAGUUUAAUUGGCCACCAACCCAUGCUCGUUUGUGCUCAUUUACAGACGUAUCUUCCCCCAUAUGUCAUCCAUUCGCUAAUGUUUGAUAGUUGUUCUGCCUCUGUGCAGGAGCAGUGUCAAUUUGUAUAAAUUCAUUUUGUCAGUAUGGUUUUAUCAAGACACAAUUUUUUCUGUGUAUAUAUUUUUAUUUUUUAUUUUUGCGGGGUGUACAAAGUAUUCCCUGUUAUCCAUGGAAACACUCCCCGGUAAACCCAGAGCUGGUAAAGGAAGAAUGCACAUGCAGUCAUUGGGUUUUGGGUUUUUGUCUGCUGUGAAGAAUUUUGACACAUAGAAGCUAAUUUUUAUUUUAUUUUUUUGCUACCCUCGACAUAUUAUUUCUGUAAUCUUCUCCUAAUCCUUCCCCCGUGCUACAGCUGAAUAUCUGAACAGUGGAAAUGUAUGCUCUGGAAAUGGUGUGUUUGAUGUUGUGUUCUGCUGGGUGGCACUAUCGGAUACCCGCCAGCCUUGUCCUGUGGAGUUUUCUGCUACAUGUGAAAGCACUCUGAAUAUCUAUACUAGGUGGUUCACUACCUUUAUUCUCUAAAUCAAUUAUUUUUUAAAUAAAGAAAAGAGUGUCACAAAAUCCCACGAUACCGUACGCUCAUUGCCUUUCAUUUUUAAUGACUCGGUGCUUCUGAUGUAUUCCCUUUUUGUGUCAAUGUCAGUUAUUAAGGCAGCAUUUAAACAGUGGUUUGAUUAUUUUGGGGGGUUGGAAGACUGAACUUGGCAUUAAAAAUCAAAGUGGAGUCCCAGUUUAUCCCAUGGUGUGUUGAAUGACAGAGAGCGCCACUGCCGCCUUUAAAAUGGCCUCUUUUUUUAUUUAACAAAACCUAAAGGGAUUGUUAUCCUAAAAGACGCUGAGAUGAACCAGUCCAGUGGAGCGUUUUUUUGUUUUUUUUUAAAGAACAAAAGGGAGAUGAUUAAAGUGGGAACCAUCGGCAAUUUGUCUCUCGUUUUUCCAGCGUGGAGUGAGCAGCAGAGUAUUUUUCUAUGGAGCUUUAUCCCUUUUUUAACCUAAUUGUUAUAAGGCCCAUGUGUGAUAGUAAUUGGAGUUUAUUGUGCCAUUCCAUCCUGGCUUUUUGUUUUACAUCACUGUUCCUUCUAUGCAAAAAGAAUAUGACCUAUUUUAGCCUUUGUACAGAUUAUUUUGUAUGAGUAACAUGUACUGAAAUAAAGCAAACAGAAUCAA
This is a long non-coding RNA of Etheostoma cragini (Arkansas darter), 3543 nucleotides long. RefSeq lists it as uncharacterized. The record is from RefSeq and is a predicted model, not a curated record. The transcript has 2 exons. NCBI's taxonomy places the organism in Eukaryota, Metazoa, Chordata, Actinopteri, Perciformes, Percidae.